AGAGUUUGAUCAUGGCUCAGAGCGAACGCUGGCGGCGUGCUUAACACAUGCAAGUCGAGUGCGCGUUUCCGUAGCAAUACGGAAAUGGCGCACGGCGCACGGGUGCGUAACACGUGGGUAAUCUGCCCUCUGAUGGGGAAUAACCCGCCGAAAGGCGGGCUAAUACCGCAUAACAUUCCUUGGACUCCGGUUCGAGGAUCCAAAGGCGUAAGUCGUCGGAGGUGGAGCCCGCGCACGAUUAGCUAGUUGGUAGGGUAAUGGCCUACCAAGGCUAUGAUCGUUAGCUGGUCUGAGAGGAUGGCCAGCCACACUGGAACUGAGACACGGUCCAGACUCCUACGGGAGGCAGCAGUGGGGAAUCUUGCACAAUGGGCGAAAGCCUGAUGCAGCGACGCCGCGUGGGGGAUGAAGCUUUUCGGAGUGUAAACCCCUUUCGACCGGGACGAAUACCUCGCAAGAGGGGUGACGGUACCGGUAUAAGAAGCCCCGGCUAACUACGUGCCAGCAGCCGCGGUAAGACGUAGGGGGCCAGCGUUGCUCGGAAUUACUGGGUGUAAAGGGUUCGUAGGCGGUGUGGCAAGUCGGGAGUGAAAUCUCUGGGCUCAACUCAAGGGCUGCUUCCGAAACUGCCGUGCUAGAGUGUGGGAGAGGCGCGUGGAAUUGCAGGUGUAGCGGUGAAAUGCGUAGAUAUCUGCAGGAACACCCGUGGCGAAAGCGGCGCGCUGGACCACUACUGACGCUGAGGAACGAAAGCUAGGGGAGCAAACAGGAUUAGAUACCCCCGUAGUCC
RNAcentral lists this ribosomal RNA (790 nucleotides) under uncultured bacterium. Its description in RNAcentral is "bacterial SSU rRNA". It matches the Rfam family "Bacterial small subunit ribosomal RNA", at positions 8 to 796 of the family's 1533-position model. The record is from RNAcentral.